UUUGGUGUGAACAGCAGUUGAACACGACUCAGUCGGUCCUAAGGAAUAGGGGAAACCCGUUCCGAACCGGGGGUUUGUUUUUGACACAAAAAAAUAGUAGAAAAACCCCGAAUCGACCGAAAGGGAAUCGGGUUAAUAUUCCCGAACCCGGAUGCGGAGAUCGACCCCUCGUGGGUCCAAUGCGGCAACGCAAACGAACUCGGAGACGUCGGCGGGAGUCCCGGGAAGAGUUGUCUUUUCUUUGUAAGGAACGGACUCCCUGGAAUCGGCUCGCCCGGAGAGAGGGACGUUGUUUCCGUAAAGCACCGCGGCUCUUGCGGUGUCCGGAGCACUCCCGCCGGCCCUUGAAAAUCCGAGGGAGAGACACAUCUUGAUUUUCGCGCCGGACCGUACCCAUAUCCGCAGCAGGUCUCCAAGGUGAACAGCCUCUAUUCGAUAGAGCA
Molecule: ribosomal RNA, 443 nt
Filed under: Paralamyctes chilensis
Lineage: Eukaryota; Metazoa; Arthropoda; Chilopoda; Lithobiomorpha; Henicopidae
Description: eukaryotic LSU rRNA
Rfam family: Eukaryotic large subunit ribosomal RNA
Source: RNAcentral